CCCUUCCGCUUUCUCUUCCCUUCCGCUUCCAGUCCCUCUCUCUCUCUCUCCUCGCCCAAGAGGCCAAAAACCCAGCCUCGAGUCCUCGCUCCCCGCAGAUUUGCGCGUCAUCAGCGCCGCGGCGAUGGCGGGCGGCUUCUCCAUCAGGGGGUACGCGGAGAGCUUGCGGCGCACGGGGGCGGCGGAGCUCGGCCCGUUUGGUUCGGCCGUCAAGGAGCUGCAGCCCCUGGAGGUGCGCGCCUUCCGGUGGUGGGAGGACGAGCUCGCGUCCAUCAAGGCGGCGGAGGCGGAGAAGAAAGCGGUGGCGGGGGUGGAUGAGGAGGAGGAAGAGGAAGAGGCGUCGGGGAACGGCCGGGCGCCGAAGAAGCGCUCCAUCACCGACCUCUUCGCGGAGGCGCCUGCCGUGGUCGCCGGCAGCGGACCCGACGCUGUCGUGGACGAGGAGGAGGUUCUUCGCUCCAUCGUCCGCCGGAGCAAGGAGCUGCGUAGGAAGCGGCGUCUGGAGCAAGCUGCCUCGGCGGCGGACGAGCCGGAGACGUCGGCGGCAGGCGAACGGCGUGCGGCCGAGGGGAAUUUCCCCAGAAAGAAAUCAGUUGACAAACCAAUUUUGGGAGAUGAGUUGGAUACUUCUGGUCCAUCAAAGGAACAUGAGAAUGACGAUCUCAGUACAGAGAAGGAAAUGAUCCCAGAUCUUAAGAGAAGGAAGCACGGAAGACUCAGUAAUAGCUUGCAGAAGAAGAAGGCUGAGAGGCUAAAGUACCUUGAGAGUAGAAAGGCUGCCAAGGUUGGAAAACAGAGAGAUAUUAAAAAAGUGCUCCCUUUGCACAGCAUUCUGAAGAAGUACACGAAGCAUACAUCUGUUAAAAUGGUAAAGGAAAAACAUGGGAGUUCAAAAGGCCCUGGAGUCAUACAACUAUGCCGCAAAUCAGUCAAGCGUGUUAAAUUCUCAGAAAUGGAUGAUGCCAAGAAGCAAUGUUCCAAAAGACCACCACUGGAAAGCAUCUGCGAGCUUCUCUCUGCUAUUAGUUCUUCUUCUUCUUCAUCUCUAGAGAUGUCAAGUGAAGAGGAACAUGUCAUAGCAGAAAGUAGUAGUUCUCGUAUGCCAAGUAAAGCCUUCAGUAUGGCUAAGGAAGCCAAUGAGAAUACAAGUCAUGAUAACCAAUAUGAGCUUAGCAGUACUGGACUGCCCACUUGUUUGCUUGAUUUGAAUCAAGCUCUUCCAGAACCUACGGACUUAAACAAUCCGUAUGUUCCGAGUUCAGACGUUUCAUAUCUUGAGCACACAGAGGUAGGAACUUGGCAUGUGGGUCAACAACUUACUGAUAAUGGAAGGACAAAUGAUAAACAAUUGUCUUUCGAUCUGCAUGGACAGGAACAAGAACGACAAGCUACUGAGUUGGACACCAGAUCAAAAGGCAAGUCCCCUUGUACUCUGCCAAACCAUUUCCAGGAUUCAGUUCAUCUGCAACAAAAUUGGUGCUCCAUGACUUUGCAUCGUGGUGUCUCUCAGCUCUCAACUGGAGGUGAACCUUCUUCCUUUGAAUUUCGAGGAUCUAAUAUAUCACACAGUGAGAAACGAAAUUUUCAUUCAGAAAUGAACGUGCAACAAGAGUCCAGUCCUUCUGCUGGUCAAACCUUGCGCUUGAUGGGUCAUGAUCUUACAGUAUCCAAUACUAGAGUUGACUAUUUAUCUGACCCAGCACAGAAUCAUAUAAAUCCUACUGCAGACCAUCUUACCAGAAAGGUGGUGUUGGAAUUGCCACGACAAGGUCAGCCUUUCCUAUCAUUACAAACUCAGAGUAUUCCCAGUGUUUCAGCAAGUUGUGCAAAUGCUGUAGCUCAUGUUUCGGCAAGUUCUGCAAAUGCUGUAGCUCAUGUUUCAGCAAGUUCUGCAAGCACAGCCCAGGCACAUUUUGGAUACAGAACACCACAUAAUGUCAGCCACCCUUUUCUCACUGCCAAUGUGCUCUCUGGUGAUCCAUCAGUAUAUGAAGACAGAUCCAGGGACUUUACAAACUUGCAAUUGCAUCGAAAUUCUCUAUUGGGAUAUCCACCUCUUUCCAAUCAUGGCAGUGCUGCAUUUCUUCAGAAUUCACCACCUUGGCGUUAUUACUCUGAUCAUUCCACUCGGACAGAUUCAACCUCAGCGACAUUUACGCCAACAAUGAUGCAGCAUGUGGCAACAUCUUCAGAUUACCGUGCCAAUCUGCCUCAUCUGUCAUAUGGUGUGUACUCUGCAGGCUCAACAGUUCAACCUCGUAGCUCUGCAAGUUUUACAUGCCCAAACCAGAUAGUACAAGGAGUUGACACUAGGGCUUCUGCAAACCUUCCAUCCAGAAGUCGAGGAACUGGACCGACAAGAGCUGCUCCUGACAACUCUAAUACUUCAUCUAGCAGCCGUUUUGUUCUGAGAUCAGGCCCUGUAAAGCUCAGUGCCGGGGCAAAGCAUAUCCUGAUACCAAAUGAGAACACAGAGGACGACAAUUCUGCACCAAUGUACUCUUGUGUGUCCUUUGGCAACAGCAGUGCAAAUGUUUCGGCAGCUCAUCAGAAUAAAGGAACAGGUCCCCGUAGGUUGUAGUCCAAAAGCUGGAUUAUCUUGCCUGUCCGUUUUCUGGACAGCUGCUGAGCAAGAGGCUACAUAUUUUGAAGGAAUUGAAGCUGAUGGCCUUCGCAAUUGAUGACGAAUAGACGAUGGUGAUGUGAAGAUGCAAUGCGCAGUUUGGAGGAUACCUGAGCCCGUCUUAAAGGAGGGUACUUGGUUUUGUUUUGUGGCCUGGGAGACUUUGACAGAUCGUUUUUAGUCCUGCAGUUCAAAAUAAGUUUUUUUUUUAAAAAAAAACGACUAGUGCGCUCAGGUUGUGCAGCAUGUGAACUUGUAGGGCACACCUGGAGUGUCUAUCUAGCUACCGGUAACGAAGUAGAAUGUUAAUGCGACUCCAAAGCUGGUUGGCUGUACAGCUUGUGCAAAUGAGUUUCUCGUUCCAUUUGAGCCGGCUAGAGCAUGUUGAGCAGUCUUCCAAUAAUCUAUUCCCAGAUCUAUUUUUUUGUGUA
Molecule: RNA transcript, 3054 nt
Organism: Sorghum bicolor (sorghum)
Lineage: Eukaryota; Viridiplantae; Streptophyta; Magnoliopsida; Poales; Poaceae
Exons: 4
Source: RefSeq, a predicted model, not a curated record